CCUCCGAAGUUUCCCUCAGGAUAGCUGGCGCUCUCGCACGAAACUAGCUCGAACCCACGCAGUUUUAUCCGGUCAAGCGAAUGAUUAGAGGUCUUGGGGCCGAAACGAUCUCAAC
This is a microRNA precursor of Tursiops truncatus (common bottlenose dolphin), 115 nucleotides long. The record is from Ensembl. NCBI's taxonomy places the organism in Eukaryota, Metazoa, Chordata, Mammalia, Artiodactyla, Delphinidae.